CGUAGGUGACGAGCGUUGUCCGGAUUUACUGGGCGUAAAGAGCGCGCAGGCGGUCGUGCAAGUCGAGUGUGAAAGCCCCCGGCUCAACUGGGGAGGGUCACUCGAUACUGCUCGACUCGAAGGCAGGAGAGGGAAGUGGAAUUCCCGGUGUAGUGGUGAAAUGCGUAGAUAUCGGGAGGAACACCAGUGGCGAAGGCGACUUCCUGGCCUGUUCUUGACGCUGAGGCGCGAAAGCUAGGGGAGCAAACGGGAUUAGAUACCCCGGUAGUCCUAGCCGUAAACGAUGGACACUAGGUGUUGGUGGUAUCAACCCCGCCAGUGCCGAAGCUAACGCAUUAAGUGUCCCGCCUGGGGAGUACGGCCGCAAGGCUA
RNAcentral lists this ribosomal RNA (372 nucleotides) under uncultured organism. Its description in RNAcentral is "bacterial SSU rRNA". It matches the Rfam family "Bacterial small subunit ribosomal RNA", at positions 526 to 896 of the family's 1533-position model. The record is from RNAcentral.